Molecule: ribosomal RNA, 427 nt
Filed under: uncultured bacterium
Lineage: Bacteria
Description: bacterial SSU rRNA
Rfam family: Bacterial small subunit ribosomal RNA
Source: RNAcentral
UGGGGAAUAUUGCACAAUGGGCGCAAGCCUGAUGCAGCCAUGCCGCGUGUAUGAAGAAGGCCUUCGGGUUGUAAAGUACUUUCAGCGAGGAGGAAGGCGUUAAGGUUAAUAACCUUAGCGAUUGACGUUACUCGCAGAAGAAGCACCGGCUAACUCUGUGCCAGCAGCCGCGGUAAUACAGAGGGUGCAAGCGUUAAUCGGAAUUACUGGGCGUAAAGCGCGCGUAGGUGGUUCGUUAAGUUGGAUGUGAAAUCCCCGGGCUCAACCUGGGAACUGCAUUCAAAACUGGCAGGCUUGAGUCUUGUAGAGGGGGGUAGAAUUCCAGGUGUAGCGGUGAAAUGCGUAGAGAUCUGGAGGAAUACCGGUGGCGAAGGCGGCCCCCUGGACAAAGACUGACGCUCAGGUGCGAAAGCGUGGGGAGCAAACA